UGAGUGUGUGUGUGUGUGUGUGUUUCCUCGAAUGUUCAUUUGGUGGCGCUGUGGCUCCUGUUUGGCCACUUUGAUUGAAAGACUGCGAAUGGAGAAAAACGCAGAACUUAAUCCAUUGGCAUCAGAUCCUGUGUAUGUCUAGCUGUGCAUCAUGGAAAGAAAGGUGUCAAAACUUAAUGCAACUAAAUACAGACAUAAGAAUGAUCAGAAAACUCAAGCAAGCAACUUAAAAAACAAAACAAAAAACAAAGGAACAAACUCAGAGAGGCAGAGGACACCGCUGAACAGCUGAUCUGCCGUUAGCUGCGUAAAUUUCCCUCACGGUGAGCAGCUCCCAGAGCCCAGCUGAAUUAAUCACAGCCACACGGACGCGGGGGAGGGGUGGGGGGCAGCCUGAGGAUGAGGACGGAGAGAAGGGUAGAAGAACCCGUGCUGUGAGAAGAGGUCAGAGCUGGAACAUCCAUGGAGUGAAAGGGAUUCUGACAUUUCCCCCACCACAUUCAAAGCCACCAAGCUCUACAGUAGUAGAAAACUUCAGACCUGUCUCUCCUCUCCGUUUCUUGGCAAAAACACUUGAGGGAGUGGUUUUCAAUCAGGAAAAAUUGUUACGCAACUCUUGCCAGUUGAAAGUGCAGGGACAGUCGUGCUUCAGAAAGGAUGAGAUGCAUCAAACCAUGUGACUGUACUGUAAGAGCUCUGGAUAUAUGAAACAAGCCUGACAGGAUGAGAGCUG
This is a long non-coding RNA of Cyprinus carpio carpio, 733 nucleotides long. The record is from Ensembl. NCBI's taxonomy places the organism in Eukaryota, Metazoa, Chordata, Actinopteri, Cypriniformes, Cyprinidae.